Molecule: ribosomal RNA, 392 nt
Filed under: uncultured bacterium
Lineage: Bacteria
Description: bacterial SSU rRNA
Rfam family: Bacterial small subunit ribosomal RNA
Source: RNAcentral
AUUGAACGCUGGCGGCAUGCCUAACACAUGCAAGUCGAACGGCAGCGCGGGUAGCAAUACCUGGCGGCGAGUGGCGGACGGGUGAGGAAUGCAUCGGAAUCUGCCCGGUUGUGGGGGAUAACUCAGCGAAAGUUGAGCUAAUACCGCAUGAGACCGAGAGGUGAAAGCGGGGGACCGAAAGGCCUCGCGCGAUCGGAUGAGCCGAUGCCGGAUUAGCUAGUUGGUAGGGUAAAGGCCUACCAAGGCGACGAUCCGUAGCUGGUCUGAGAGGAUGAUCAGCCACACUGGGACUGAGACACGGCCCAGACUCCUACGGGAGGCAGCAGUGGGGAAUAUUGGACAAUGGGCGCAAGCCUGAUCCAGCAAUGCCGCGUGUGUGAAGAAGGCCUCGG